Small nucleolar RNA from Calidris pygmaea (Spoon-billed sandpiper), 84 nucleotides. Lineage: Eukaryota; Metazoa; Chordata; Aves; Charadriiformes; Scolopacidae. The record is from Ensembl.
GUCCAAAAUACAGUGAUGUUUUCUUUUCCAAGCAUGUAUCUGAUUGCUCUAUGUGGAAAAUGACUGUUAUUGAGUGUUUUGGAU